This 255-nucleotide ribosomal RNA is filed under the name uncultured bacterium. RNAcentral describes it as "partial 16S ribosomal RNA". It matches the Rfam family "Bacterial small subunit ribosomal RNA", at positions 524 to 776 of the family's 1533-position model. The record is from RNAcentral.
UACAGAGGGGGCAAGCGUUAUUCGGAAUUAUUGGGCGUAAAGGGCGCGUAGGCGGCCUGGCAAGUGGAAGGUGAAAUCCCUCGGCUUAACCGAGGAACUGCCCUCCAAACUGCUUGGCUUGAGUCCGGGAGAGGUGAGUGGAAUUCCCAGUGUAGCGGUGAAAUGCGUAGAUAUCGGGAAGAACACCCGUGGCGAAGGCGGCUCUCUGGGACGGUACUGACGCUGAGACGCGAAAAGCGUGGGGGAGCGAACAGG